This 3469-nucleotide unclassified non-coding RNA is filed under the name Hevea brasiliensis (rubber tree). Lineage: Eukaryota; Viridiplantae; Streptophyta; Magnoliopsida; Malpighiales; Euphorbiaceae. The record is from RNAcentral.
GUAACUGGUGACGUCUACGUGAGAGUACGCUUUAUUCCCAUGGGCCAGCGGACUCUUCCUUCAACCCCGAACCCCGCGCCAGGAGCAACUGCAGCAAAAGAUUCACUGCAUCCGAGAACAGUUUCACAACCUUCUUUGGAAAUUUGUAUUGGCCAACUCCUCUGCUUUAGCCAAUUAAACUCUUCCACUUACUAAAAGAGGCAAAUUAAUUGUAUGCGGAAUAUACAUAUAGGAUUUUCAUUCAUGCUAUAGGCAACAGCCCGUUACAGACAGACCAAGUGUAAUGUAUACUGCUGAAAAUUGCUUUGGAAAUCGUUGAGUUCGCUUGCCGAUUGAGUUUAGGUCUUCGAUUAGUGCUCUGCGUUGGGCGGUAUCAGUAUCAUUUUCUGUUUUUCUACCAUUUUUUUUAAUGGAUUUUGGUUUUGUUUGCUGUUGUGAUUGUUUUGAUGAUCGAACCUCUCUUUUCUUUCUUUGAAGGGUUAAAGCUUUGAUUUGGUUGUCAAUGGAAGCUGCUUUGAUGGUUCACACGACUCCUAGCGAGUCAUAUUCUAAAGGACACAAAAGGAUAAAACUAUCUAAUGAUGGAGAUGGGUAUGGAAGCUCUUCUAAAGUUGUUGAUUAUUCUGAUCCAUUUGCCAUAUCAAGCUUCAUCGAUAAGUUAGAUUCUGGUAGAUAUGGAAGUGUGACAAAAGACAUUGAAGCUCUCAUUUCUCGGAGGCUUAAAGUUCUCAGCCCUUAUCUGAAGAAGCAUCCUAUUCUUUCAAAUAUCUUAUUGGAUGAUGGGAAAGAGGGCCUAAGUGAAGAUGCUUCAAGGGCACCGGAAUGUGUCAUUGAUUUGGAGGAUGAUAGUAGUGUGACAAAUGAUCCUUCAAUAGAACCAAGGCAUGUUGUAAUUUUGGAUUCAGAUGAUGAAGACAGUGGAGAUCAUAGGCCGAAUUGUCCCUUCCAGGAGGUUGUCUUGCCAAGGUCCGCAGGGCAAGUUAUGGUGGACACAGCUGUUCAGACCCAUUCUGAGAGAAAAAAUCACGAAAAGUUAGUAAGUUUGGCUGGUGAAACCGAUAAGAGAGAUAAAGGUGUUUUUGUUGGUGUAGAUGAGUAUGAUGAUAACAAUCAAUCCAGGACUGAAGAUGAUGGCCUUGGAGAUAUAUGGAAGGAGAUGUCAAUAGCAUUGGAAUGUUCUAAGGAUGUUGCUGAAUAUCCUUCAUCUGAUGAACACGUGCAAGAAGAUGUAGAAUAUUGUGAUCACUCUUUUGUUUUGAAGGAUGAUAUUGGCUAUGUUUGUCGCAUUUGUGGGGUUAUUGAGAGAGGAAUUGACACCAUAAUUGAGGUUCAGUUUAACAAGAAAAAGAGUACACGAACUUAUGCAUCUGAGUAUCAGAAUGUCAAGGACAGAGAUUCAAAUGAGAUGUUUGGAAUUGAGUUAUCUGACGAGGAUUUGAUGGUCACUGACAUCUCUGCUCAUCCAAGGCACAUGAAGCAAAUGAAACCUCAUCAGGUGGAAGGUUUCAAUUUCCUUCGAAGUAACCUGGUGGCAGAUAAUCCUGGGGGCUGCAUCUUGGCCCAUGCUCCUGGAUCUGGAAAAACAUUCAUGAUCAUCAGUUUCAUGCAGAGUUUCCUAGCCAAAUAUCCACAUGCUAGACCACUGGUGGUGCUUCCAAAAGGAAUUUUAGCUACAUGGAAAAAGGAGUUUCAGACUUGGCAGGUUGAGGAUAUUCCACUGUAUGACUUUUAUAGUGUGAAAGCAGAUGGUCGCACACAGCAACUGGAGGUCUUAAAACAGUGGGUGGAGCAAAGGAGUAUUCUUUUCUUAGGGUACAAACAAUUCUCCUCUAUUGUCUGUGAUGAUGUAAACAGUAAGGUUGCAGCUAGUUGUCAGGAAAUAUUGCUCAAGCGACCUACAAUUCUGAUUUUGGAUGAAGGACACACUCCCAGGAAUGAGAAUACUGAUGUUCUGCAGUCACUUGCUAAGGUGCAGACACCUCGGAAGGUGGUGCUUUCUGGCACCCUUUACCAAAAUCAUGUCAAGGAGGUAUUCAAUAUAUUGAAUCUCGUUCGCCCAAAGUUUUUGAGAUUGAAUACUUCCCGGGCCAUCGUCAAGCGGAUUAUGAGCAAGGUACAUAUACAAGGAGUGAAAAAGCAUCUCAAAACUGGGGAGACAGUUUUUUAUGACUUGGUUGAGCACACAAUACAGGAUCAAGAUUUUAGAAGGAAAGUGGCUGUCAUACAUGAUCUUCGAGAGAUGACUAGCAAGGUCCUUCAUUAUUAUAAAGGAGAUUUCUUGGAUGAGCUUCCUGGACUUGUUGAUUUCACUGUAGUGCUUAACCUUAGUCCUAGACAGAAGCAAGAAGUUGAGAAAUUGAAGAAAUGGGCUAGGAAAUUCAAGAGAAAUUCUGUUGGAAGUGUUGUUUAUCUGCACCCGAAUUUGUACAGUAUAUCUGAAAAUUCUGACGUGACUAAUGACAGAAUGGAUAAGUUUUUAGGGGAAAUUAAUUUGAGAGAUGGAGUGAAAGCUAAAUUUUUUCUUACAAUGUUAAAUUUGUGUGAGUCGGCUAGAGAGAAGCUGCUAGUUUUUAGCCAAUAUCUCACUCCUUUAAAAUUUUUAGAGAGAUUAGUAGUAAAAGUGAAAGGUUGGAUUUUGGGGAAAGAAAUUUUUGUAAUAUCAGGUGAGUCAACUUCUGAUGAUCGGGAGUCAUCCAUGGAGAGAUUUAACAACUCCACUGAUGCAAAAGUUUUCUUUGGAUCCAUUAAGGCAUGUGGAGAGGGAAUUUCUCUGGUUGGGGCUUCUCGCAUUAUUAUCUUGGAUGUUCAUCUGAAUCCAUCAGUUACUCGCCAAGCAAUAGGGCGGGCAUUCCGUCCAGGCCAGAAGAAUAAAGUGUAUGCUUAUAGAUUAGUUGCUGCGGAUUCACCUGAGGAGGAAGACCAUAGCACUUGUUUCAGGAAGGAAGCAAUUUCAAAAUUGUGGUUUGAAUGGAAUGAGUAUUGUGGUUAUCAGGAUUUUGAGAUGGAGACAGUUGAUCUGAAAGAGUGUGGCGAUCCCUACCUGGAAAGCCCACUAUUAGGGGAAGAUGUAAGGGAACUGUACAAAAGAUGAGUUGCUGGCUGGGGACAUGAAAGAGGAAUGAGAAUGAGAUAUUCCAAAAUUCCUAUGUGGGCUGGUAAGAAGGGUGAAGAUUGAUUGGUUCUUUUUGUGUAUUCUUGUUCUUAUGUUAAAAACUAUGACAGAUUCUGUUAAGUGAAACAGUGAAGAGAUCAAUUUUGUGAAAAACAUGGAAAUGAUAUAUUUUGUUUUCAUUUUCUAAAUGUGAAAUAUUCAUACGAUGUAUGAUAUUUUUGCUAUAUUCUGUAUGUUCAAAUUUAAUUUUUGUUCUUGGGAGCCAAUUGGCUAGGAAAAGGUACAGUUGAGCCGAGAAUUUACCUAUCUUCACCAGAAAUUGUAUGUGGCCAUUAUUUCACAGAUUUUAGGCGAUUG